UUCAAUGGGCGGGCCGUAGCGGGGGAGCCGCAAGGCUCGCCGGUUUGGUUAUGACCCGGUCUGCUAACCCCGUUACGUGCCCGCUCACCCCA
Molecule: non-coding RNA, 92 nt
Filed under: Paraburkholderia phenazinium
Lineage: Bacteria; Pseudomonadati; Pseudomonadota; Betaproteobacteria; Burkholderiales; Burkholderiaceae
Source: RNAcentral